GAUGAACGCUGGCGGCGUGCCUAAUACAUGCAAGUCGAGCGAACGGACGAGAAGCUUGCUUCUCUGAUGUUAGCGGCGGACGGGUGAGUAACACGUGGAUAACCUACCUAUAAGACUGGGAUAACUUCGGGAAACCGGAGCUAAUACCGGAUAAUAUUUUGAACCGCAUGGUUCAAAAGUGAAAGACGGUCUUGCUGUCACUUAUAGAUGGAUCCGCGCUGCAUUAGCUAGUUGGUAAGGUAACGGCUUACCAAGGCAACGAUGCAUAGCCGACCUGAGAGGGUGAUCGGCCACACUGGAACUGAGACACGGUCCAGACUCCUACGGGAGGCAGCAGUAGGGAAUCUUCCGCAAUGGGCGAAAGCCUGACGGAGCAACGCCGCGUGAGUGAUGAAGGUCUUCGGAUCGUAAAACUCUGUUAUUAGGGAAGAACAUAUGUGUAAGUAACUGUGCACAUCUUGACGGUACCUAAUCAGAAAGCCACGGCUAACUACGUGCCAGCAGCCGCGGUAAUACGUAGGUGGCAAGCGUUAUCCGGAAUUAUUGGGCGUAAAGCGCGCGUAGGCGGUUUUUUAAGUCUGAUGUGAAAGCCCAUGGCUCAACCGUGGAGGGUCAUUGGAAACUGGAAAACUUGAGUGCAGAAGAGGAAAGUGGAAUUCCAUGUGUAGCGGUGAAAUGCGCAGAGAUGUGGAGGAACACCAGUGGCGAAGGCGACUUUCUGGUCUGUAACUGACGCUGAUGUGCGAAAGCGUGGGGAUCAAACAGGAUUAGAUACCCUGGUAGUCCACGCCGUAAACGAUGAGUGCUAAGUGUUAGGGGGUUUCCGCCCCUUAGUGCUGCAGCUAACGCAUUAAGCACUCCGCCUGGGGAGUACGACCGCAAGGUUGAAACUCAAAGGAAUUGACGGGGGCCCGCACAAGCGGUGGAGCAUGUGGUUUAAUUCGAAGCAACGCGAAGAACCUUACCAAAUCUUGACAUCCUUUGACAACUCUAGAGAUAGAGCCUUCCCCUUCGGGGGACAAAGUGACAGGUGGUGCAUGGUUGUCGUCAGCUCGUGUCGUGAGAUGUUGGGUUAAGUCCCGCAACGAGCGCAACCCUUAAGCUUAGUUGCCAUCAUUAAGUUGGGCACUCUAAGUUGACUGCCGGUGACAAACCGGAGGAAGGUGGGGAUGACGUCAAAUCAUCAUGCCCCUUAUGAUUUGGGCUACACACGUGCUACAAUGGACAAUACAAAGGGCAGCGAAACCGCGAGGUCAAGCAAAUCCCAUAAAGUUGUUCUCAGUUCGGAUUGUAGUCUGCAACUCGACUACAUGAAGCUGGAAUCGCUAGUAAUCGUAGAUCAGCAUGCUACGGUGAAUACGUUCCCGGGUCU
RNAcentral lists this ribosomal RNA (1372 nucleotides) under uncultured bacterium. RNAcentral's name for it is "bacterial SSU rRNA". It matches the Rfam family "Bacterial small subunit ribosomal RNA", at positions 28 to 1381 of the family's 1533-position model. The record is from RNAcentral.